CUUCACACCACAGUGACCACAGAAUCAAGUUACACAAAUUUUCCAAACACCUCACCCAUGAUAAAAAGAAUACUAAAUUUAUUGUAUCAUGACCUCACCUGACACAGCGACAAGAAUCUACAGGUCGAGCAAGUCUCGUAAAUUUCACGAUUGCGAGCCACGCUUCACGCAACCGUGUUUGCGUACUUGUGUUUCAAGUUGCGUGGUCGUACGGAGUUAUAUUUACCAAAUUUAAAUAUAAUCGUUUUCAAAAUUAAAUCAAUAUGUCAAUAUGGCUACUGGGUGUAAAAGAUAAAUCUUAUUCUAUCUGUUCUUAAUGAGUUUUAGAUAAUUUUAGUUGUAUUUCUUUGUAAUUUUGUGUUGUACAAAGAUUAAUUUAACAUUUUCUCUGGAAGUAUUAAUUUAGAAAGAUAAUAUGCUUCAUUGGUGUUGUGUUUUGAAGUGUGAAAUGUGAUAAAGUCAAGAUAAAGUUCACUUUUAAACUGAACUAAAUAAGGUAUCUGAGAGACAACAAUGGUUAAAUGCAAUACAAUGUACAGGUUUUACUAGCGAAAUGAAAAUUUUCCUGUCCUGUCUGCUGUAAUCAUUUUAUAUCUGGAAAACCAGCCGACUUAAUAGAUAAUAACAAUCUCCAGAUUGGGUUCCUUCAAUAAAUAUGGUCUAUAAACACAAUGAAAUAAGUUCCCCAAAAUCUAAAAUGGAGUGGUAUCAAAGGAGAAUUAAAGGGAAAAAUAUUCAUAUUGAAAUUAUUUAUAAGGCACUGGACUGUCUUAAAUUCUACAAUAAUACUAGGUGGGUAAAUGAUUUUAGACAUUUUUCAUUAAGAGUAGAUUAAGAUUAAGUAGAUUUUCAUUCAGUAGAUUUAAGACUUGUUUACACGGGUAGAGUAAUGAUGCAAGUACUUGAUAGAGUAGAGUAACUCUACCUGUAAAAAUGCUCAGCACAGUAGAAUAGCUGGUAGAGUGUAUAGUUGGAGUUAAAGUAGAGUGACUAGCAACCUAUGGCAAAGUAACUACUCUAUGACCACCACUACUGCCAAAAUGUCUACUCGGCUGCACACUCUACCCAUGGAACACGCUCAAUUAUGGCAGAAUAGAGUAGGUAGGAGAGUACAUGGGGGCGCUGUCAUUCUGGCUGGAAUUGUGUUUUGUGUAAAUAGUGAAAAUGAAGUUCACCGAAGAUGAAACUUUAAAACUUGUAGAGCUAUAAUACGGCAAAUACCAGUGUUUAUGGAAUUUAGGUAGUGUAUACUACAGAAAUAAAAGUUUGCAGCAAGCUGCGGAGGAUGAAAUCGUCGAAAGAAUGGCAAAGGGGGCUUUGGAGUAAACAAGCUUAAGCAAAAAAUUAAGAAUUUAAGGUGCACUUAUAAUCAGAGUGUUUAAAAAUACAAAAAUCAGUUUCACUAUACUAGCAUCAGUACUAUACUUGUACUCUCCUCACGUGAAUGGUAUCAAGCCAUUUUUGGUAGAGUACUACCACUACUCUACUCUCCUCAAAACUCUACCCAUGUAAACAAGUCUUUAGAAACAGUGGAAAAUGAGGUAGCUAGUAGAGUAGUAGUAGAGUAAAAUAUACUGGUUUAGCAAAUUGCAAUGUUUUAAGGUAAUACAGUAGCGAUAAACAGGUAGCCAAAACGUGUUCCAAGAUUGUCACUGUAAUUUUGAAUAUUUUUUCGAGGCAUUUGGCACACGUAUUCGUAAAAUAAUAAAGAAUGGCGGUACAGAGCCCAAUUUGAAAAAUAUAUUAAUAUGUGGAAAUUACUCUGUAAUUAUACAAUAUUUAAAAAACGAGCCUGUACCGCCAUUAAGAAGAACAAAAAAAUACACUUUCUUCAAAUAAACUUUUUUAUCCGAUGCCUAGAUUUUGUGUAAUUUUGGAACUACUAAUGAAAUAAAAAAUUUUAGUAGUUCCAAAAUAACACAAAAUCAGAUAAAAAAGUUGUAUUUGAAGAAAGUGUAUUUUUUUGUUCUUCUUAAUGGCGGUACAAGCUCGUUUUUUUUAUAUUGUAUUUAAUUACAGAGUAAUUUCCACAUAAUAAUAUAUUUUUCAAAUUGGGCUCUGUACCGCCAUUCUUUAUUAUAUUACGAAUAUGUGUGCCAAAUAUCUUGAAAAAUAUUCAAAAUUACAGCCACAAUCUUGGAACACAUUUUCGCUACCUGUUGAUCGAUACUGUUUCCUCUUAAGAUAGUUUUAAUAGUUAUUUAUGAUAUAAGUAUUAAAAGUACAAUUUUAAGACGCGCAUGUGAAAGUUAACUUGAAAAAAUAAUUUUAUUAAUGUUUUGACUUCCACAUCAGAUGUCAUUGUCAAAAUACAAAAUAUUUAUUAUUAUUAGGUUUGUUCUAGCAAACAGUCAAACUAGUCAAAAACCAUCAGCAAACAGUUGGUCAGUAAAAGAACAUAAUACAGUCACCAGUGCGAUCCCCUCUACUCGCGCUGGUCCACUAUUCGCUGAUGGUUUCAAACUGAUGCUAGAACAAACCUAUUAUUAUUAUGCAUAUCAUUAUCUGUAAAUAAUAUUUCUUCCGAUUGUUAAUUGUAAAGGAUAGAAAAAUUACCAUUUAUUUCAUUUUUUUUAGAAUCAGCUGAGAGAAGUGGUCUACAAAAAACCAGGAAGGAAACGGAAUAUGUGGCUACGAAAGGCAAAAGAAAGGUUUACAAAGCAAAUGUGACACAUUUUUUUGAAAUAUUUAGGAAUAUCAGUAAAUUGCAUUAAAAAAAUGUAUGAAAAGAUUUGUUCAAUAAAAAUGUUUAUAUUUA
This is a long non-coding RNA of Diabrotica virgifera virgifera (western corn rootworm), 2758 nucleotides long. RefSeq lists it as uncharacterized. NCBI's taxonomy places the organism in Eukaryota, Metazoa, Arthropoda, Insecta, Coleoptera, Chrysomelidae. The record is from RefSeq and is a predicted model, not a curated record. The transcript is spliced from 2 exons.